AUCACCUGGGAAUCUUAUAAUAAUGCAGAUUCUGAUUCAGUAAAUUUCGAUAGCGCUGUGAUUCUGCAUUUCUAACAAGCUCCCAGGUGAUGCUGC
This 96-nucleotide microRNA precursor is filed under the name Bos taurus (domestic cattle). Its description in RNAcentral is "mir-544 microRNA precursor family". It matches the Rfam family "mir-544 microRNA precursor family". The record is from Rfam by way of RNAcentral. Lineage: Eukaryota; Metazoa; Chordata; Mammalia; Artiodactyla; Bovidae. RNAcentral also lists the same sequence under 2 other names.